CGGACGGGUGAGUAAUGUAUGGGGAUCUGCCCGAUGGAGGGGGAUAACUACUGGAAACGGUAGCUAAUACCGCAUAACGUCGCAAGACCAAAGAGGGGACCUUAGGGCCUCUUGCCAUCGGAUGUGCCCAGAUGGGAUUAGCUAGUAGGUGGGGUAAUGGCUCACCUAGGCGACGAUCCCUAGCUGGUCUGAGAGGAUGACCAGCCACACUGGAACUGAGACACGGUCCAG
This 231-nucleotide ribosomal RNA is filed under the name uncultured bacterium. RNAcentral describes it as "partial 16S ribosomal RNA". It matches the Rfam family "Bacterial small subunit ribosomal RNA", at positions 99 to 334 of the family's 1533-position model. The record is from RNAcentral.